CAGAUUCUUCUUCUUUUUGUUC
RNAcentral lists this small RNA (22 nucleotides) under Arabidopsis thaliana (thale cress). RNAcentral's name for it is "ATSL231110". The record is from RNAcentral. Lineage: Eukaryota; Viridiplantae; Streptophyta; Magnoliopsida; Brassicales; Brassicaceae.